RNAcentral lists this ribosomal RNA (412 nucleotides) under uncultured bacterium. RNAcentral's name for it is "bacterial SSU rRNA". It matches the Rfam family "Bacterial small subunit ribosomal RNA", at positions 917 to 1333 of the family's 1533-position model. The record is from RNAcentral.
GGGCCCGCACAAGCGGUGGAGCAUGUGGUUUAAUUCGAUGAUACGCGAGGAACCUUACCAGGGCUUAAAUGUAGAGCGACAGAGGUGGAAACACCUCCUUCUUCGGACGGUCUACAAGGUGCUGCAUGGUUGUCGUCAGCUCGUGCUGUGAAGUGUCGGGUUAAGUCCCAUAACGAGCGCAACCCCUAUUUCUAGUUGCCAGCGGUUCGGCCGGGGACUCUAGAGAAACUGCCAGCGUAAGCUGUGAGGAAGGUGGGGAUGACGUCAAAUCAUCACGGCCCUUACGUCCUGGGCCACACACGUGCUACAAUGGUGGAGACAGAGAGUUGCCAACCCGCGAGGGUGAGCUAAUCUUCAAACUCCAUCUCAGUUCGGAUCGAAGUCUGCAACUCGACUUCGUGAAGUUGGAAUC